AGAAGGGAUGGCGCUGGGAAUUUGGGGAUCUUAGCAGAAGAGAAGUAUCCGGACUGGCUCACCAUCUGCGAGGCUGAAGCUGGUUUUUCAGUGCUCAAAGGAGAGACCGGAGGAGGAGGCUGGGAUGCCCACUGGCUGAAACUCGGAAGGAAAGCACUGGAGUUGUCGCACCGAAGGAGUGCUUGAGAAAAUACUGCGGAAGGGGGAAAAGAUUACCUUAAGUCAAGGGGUGACGCUUGAAAUGUUAAGUGAUGUUUUUUUUUUAUUUUGUGCAAGCCCUGGCUUCUAGUGAAAUCGAGUUAUGCAUCUUUGAAGAGGCUUCAAGCUCCAUUCAAUCGCAUUUGCAACCCUGCCGAAUCAGGGCCUUGCUUCUUUUCCCUGCAAAGUCAUCAUGGCAUUGAUCGGUUAGCUACAGAAGCGCAGGGAAUGCAACACAAGGAGAGGGAGCAGGCCCUCGACUGCAGGCAGGCAGCUGGAGGAAGUCCCCAAGCCCUUGUUAUUUUCCCAGAUCUUCACAGAAACCACACUAUGCAGCUAUUUCUGCCUCUCAUUUCAACAACAGUCAAUUUUGGGUUUCAGGCAGGAACACUCUGACCAGUAACGAGAGGUCAGGAAAGGAAGCAGACACAAGGUCUUCAGACAAACACAGGAGGAGAAUAAAAACAGGUGAUUUUUUACCCAUCCAGUCAACAAAGAGUAAUAGCAACCUUGACUUGUGUGACAGAUGUGAGACAUAACGAGAAAUAACCUACUAUACAAGAGAUUGCCUGGGUAUGUUUCCUUACCACUCCAAUCCCUUCUCAACAAAUUAAAGAUUUAAAUAUAAAGUAAUAAAAGUAUUACAUUAUUUCUCUACACAGAAAAAU
Lepisosteus oculatus (spotted gar) is the source of this 866-nucleotide long non-coding RNA. RefSeq lists it as uncharacterized. Lineage: Eukaryota; Metazoa; Chordata; Actinopteri; Semionotiformes; Lepisosteidae. The record is from RefSeq and is a predicted model, not a curated record.